This 423-nucleotide ribosomal RNA is filed under the name Triticum aestivum (bread wheat). RNAcentral describes it as "partial small subunit ribosomal RNA". The record is from RNAcentral. Lineage: Eukaryota; Viridiplantae; Streptophyta; Magnoliopsida; Poales; Poaceae.
AUGGCUCAUGGCAGCAGCGGCGACGGUGGCGGUGGAGGAGACAGAGCUCUGGCCGUGGUUCCCGUGGAAGUCAAGCCGCAGCGACAGCCUGCCCUCGACGUGCCGCCCUUCCUCAUCUUCGAAAAGUGCAGGGCACCGGAGCUCUUGGACUGCCAUGCCUGCCACCUCCCCUCAAACCGCCUAUCUUCGCGAUCGAUUAGAGUCAUGUGCGACGACGGGCAUCUGAUGUGCUCGUCCUGCCACGGCGCGCACGGCGAGGACUGCGGCCGCGUUGCCGCCCACUGCCGCCUGGCAGACGCCUACGCUGGCGCCGUCAAGCUGAUGUGCGACUACGUCAAGUUCGGCUGCGAGGCGGGGCUCGUCGUCUACCACGACUCCGUGGACCACCGCUGCGCGUGCCAGCACGCGCCCUGCUACCCCUGA